CCUACGGGGGGCAGCAGUGAGGAAUAUUGGUCAAUGGCCGGAAGGCUGAACCAGCCAUGCCGCGUGAAGGGCAGCGACCUAUGGGCGUUAAACUUCUUUUGUGCGGGAGCAAUAAUGGUCACGUGUGGCCAGACGAGAGUACCGUACGAAUAAGCAUCGGCUAACUCCGUGCCAGCAGCCGCGGUAAUACGGGGGAUGCAAGCGUUAUCCGGAUUUAUUGGGUUUAAAGGGUGCGUAGGCUGUGAGGUAAGUCAGCGGUGAAAUGCCCCCGCGCAACGUGGGAACUGCCGUUGAAACUGGGAAACUGGAGUGUGUGAGAGGAUAGUGGAAUUCCAGGUGUAGGGGUGAAAUCCGUAGAUAUCUGGAGGAACAUCAGUGGCGAAGGCGACUAUCUGGCACAUAACUGACGCUGAGGAGCGAAAGCGUGGGUAGCAAACAGGAUUAGAUACCCGUGUAGUC
RNAcentral lists this ribosomal RNA (459 nucleotides) under uncultured bacterium. RNAcentral describes it as "partial 16S ribosomal RNA". It matches the Rfam family "Bacterial small subunit ribosomal RNA", at positions 338 to 795 of the family's 1533-position model. The record is from RNAcentral.